RNAcentral lists this ribosomal RNA (2285 nucleotides) under Minisyncoccota bacterium. RNAcentral's name for it is "partial 23S ribosomal RNA". It matches the Rfam family "Bacterial large subunit ribosomal RNA", at positions 1 to 1993 of the family's 2925-position model. Lineage: Bacteria; Bacillati; Minisyncoccota. The record is from RNAcentral.
UAAUAGGAAAUUAAGAGUAUAUGGUGGAUGCCUAGACUAAAAAAGGCGAUGAAAGACGCGGCAUGGCGGCGAUACGUUUCGGGGAGGUGCCUAGCAACCUUUGAUCCGGAAAUCUCUGAAUGGGGGAACCCCCUUCGAUAAACUCGAAGGAGCUUCAUUCAUUAGAAAUGAAGCGGCAUACCCAGGGAAGUAAAACAUUUCAGUACCUGGAGGAAAAUAGAACAAUAGUUAUUUCCUGAGUAGCGGCGAGCGAAAAGGAAAAAGCCCAAACCGUAUUUCGCAAGAAAUGCGGGGUUGUAAGGUGACAACGUAGAUUUAUCUAGAGAAGUCAAAAAAUGUAAUCUUAGAUUAAACUUCUGGAAAGGAGUGCCAUAGACGGUGAUAGCCCGGUGAUCGAAAAUUUUACAUCUUCUUGGUUGUCAUUCUUGAGUAGCUCAGGACACGAAUAGCUUGAGCGAAUCCGCCGGAACUAACCGGCAAGGCUAAAUACUUUUUUAGAUCGAUAGUGAACUAGUACCGUGAGGGAAAGGUGAAAAGAACCCCGAUAAGGGGAGUGAAAUAGACCUGAAACCAUAUACUUACAAGGAGUCAGAGCGGGCAUUUAUGUCCGUCAUGGCGUGCCUAUUGAAGAAUGAGCCAACGAGUUUAUCUAUGCUGCAGGCUAAGCUGUUAGAACAGUGGAGCCUUAGGGAAACCGAGUGUUAAUAGCGCGAACAAUUAUGUAGUCUAGAUAAGACCCGAAGCCAGGUGAGCUUGCCAUGGGCAGGAUGAACCCUGUCGAAAGAUGGGGGGAGGUCCGAACCGGUGACCCGUGCAAUAGUCUCGGAUGACCUGUGGUAAGGAGUGAAAAGCUAAUCGAACCUGGUAAUAGCUGGUUCUCUCCGAAAUAGCUUUAGGGCUAGCGUCGUGUGUUCCUCUUGGGGGUAGAGCACUGGAAGGUUUCGACAGGGAGCAAUCUCGCGACACCUAUCAAACUCCGAAUACCAAGAGCUCAUAACACGGCAGUUAGGCUAUGGGGGCGAAGCUCCAUCAGCCAAAAGGGAAACAGCCCAGAUCUCUAAUUAAGGUCCCUAAAUCUGCGUUAAGUGCAAAACAAGGAGGUGAAAUUUCUCUGACAAUGAGGAUGUUGGCUUAGAAGCAGCCAUCAUUUAAAGAAAGCGUAACAGCUCACUCAUCAAGAGAUCUCGCACCGAAAAUAAUCGGGGCUAAAUGCAGUACCGAAAUUGAGGGCUUUCUGCUAAUUUAUUAGCGGGGAGCGGUAGGAGAGUAUUCCAAUCAGCGUCGAAGCCAAAGGGGUGACCCAUGGUGGAGCGUUUGGAAGUAAGAAUGUUGGCACAAGUAACCGCAAGGAAGGUGAGAUCCCUUCCCGCCGAAAGAUCAAGGUUUCCUGGGCAAUGGUGAUCAUCCCAGGGUUAGUCGGUCCUAAGGAAAUGGCGAAAGCCGAAUUCGAUGGGCACAGGGUUAAUAUUCCCUGACUUCUGUUAUAUUCGAAGAUGGGACGGAGUGUAGUAUAUAGAGCUCAUUAUUGGAUUUGAGUUUGUGAGUGAGGGUGCUCUCUAGGAAAAUCCGGAGAGUAGCGUAAAAGCAACAUCCAAGCAAAGCAUAAAUGUUCGGGUUCGCCCGAGUAAAUUCUAUAAAGCACGCUUCCAAGAAAAGCAUCUAAGGUUAAUAUAAUAGAAUCCGUACCGCAAACCGACACAGGUGAUCAGGUCGAGUAGACCAAGGCGAACGAGUGAGAGGUCUUCAAGGAACUCGGCAAAAAAGCAGCCGUAACUUUGGAAUAAGGCUUGCCGUUCUUAAUUUAUUAAGAUCGGCCGCAGCGAAAGUAUCUCUGGCAACUGUUUAUCAAAAACACAGCUCCCUGCGAACUCGCAAGAGGAUGUAUAGGGGGUGACGCCUGACCAAUGCCAGAAGGUCAAAUAUCGGUGGUACUACAUCACACAGUGUGUGAUGUAAGUUAAAAGUUCAUAAAGUUAUAAAGUCAUAAAGUGGGUGCAGAAUAAUGCAUUUUACUUUAUACACUUUUUACUUUCAACUUUAUAACUUGCACAUCGCGCUUUGCGUGAUGUAGUGCUGGCUGAUAUAAGCCCUGGUGAAUGUCGGCCGUAACUAUAACGGUCCUAAGGUUUUGUACUGGAUAUUUAUAUCAAGUACAAAGCGGACUAGGACGGUUAUAGAAAACGAUAAACAAUUUAUAAAAAUUUCAUGAACCAUUUCAGCUACCUAGUACGAUAGUAAUGUUGUAUUAGUCCAAACUUGAUGAACGAGAGACCAACGUCAAGCAU